RNAcentral lists this ribosomal RNA (434 nucleotides) under uncultured Methylobacterium sp. Its description in RNAcentral is "partial 16S ribosomal RNA". It matches the Rfam family "Bacterial small subunit ribosomal RNA", at positions 341 to 792 of the family's 1533-position model. The record is from RNAcentral. Lineage: Bacteria; Pseudomonadati; Pseudomonadota; Alphaproteobacteria; Hyphomicrobiales; Methylobacteriaceae.
ACGGGAGGCAGCAGUGGGGAAUAUUGGACAAUGGGCGCAAGCCUGAUCCAGCCAUGCCGCGUGUGUGAUGAAGGCCUUAGGGUUGUAAAGCACUUUUGUCCGGGACGAUAAUGACGGUACCGGAAGAAUAAGCCCCGGCUAACUUCGUGCCAGCAGCCGCGGUAAUACGAAGGGGGCUAGCGUUGCUCGGAAUCACUGGGCGUAAAGGGCGCGUAGGCGGCCGUUUAAGUCGGGGGUGAAAGCCUGUGGCUCAACCACAGAAUUGCCUUCGAUACUGGACGGCUUGAGUAUGGUAGAGGUUGGUGGAACUGCGAGUGUAGAGGUGAAAUUCGUAGAUAUUCGCAAGAACACCGGUGGCGAAGGCGGCCAACUGGACCAUUACUGACGCUGAGGCGCGAAAGCGUGGGGAGCAAACAGGAUUAGAUACCCUGGUA